Molecule: ribosomal RNA, 1171 nt
Filed under: Bacteroidetes bacterium oral taxon 505
Lineage: Bacteria; Pseudomonadati; Bacteroidota
Description: bacterial SSU rRNA
Rfam family: Bacterial small subunit ribosomal RNA
Source: RNAcentral
GAUGAACGCUUGCGGCAGGCUUAAUACAUGCAAGUCGAACGGUAACAGGGUCUUCGGACUGCUGACGAGUGGCGGAUGGGUGAGUAACGCGUAUGCAACCUACCUCACACCGAGAACAAGUCGACUGAAAAGUUGAAUAAAGUCUCGUGGUGUACAUCCCUCGCAUGAGGGGUGUAUGAUAGAAGUAAUUUGGUGUGAGAUGGGCAUGCGCAUCAUUAGCUAGUUGGCGGGGUAAUAGCCCACCAAGGCGACGAUGAUUCGGGGGCCUGAGAGGGUGGUCCCCCACACUGGGACUGAGACACGGCCCAGACUCCUACGGGAGGCAGCAGUAGGGAAUAUUGGUCAAUGGGCGGAAGCCUGAACCAGCCAUGCCGCGUGAUGGAUGACGGCCUUAGCGUUGUAAACAUCUUUUCUACUAGAGGAAUAGAGUCCACGUGUGGACAGACGACUGUAUAGUAGGAAUAAGGAUCGGCUAACUCCGUGCCAGCAGCCGCGGUAAUACGGAGGAUUCGAGCGUUAUCCGGAUUUACUGGGUUUAAAGGGUGCGCAGGCGGGCUCUUAAGUCAGCGGUGAAAUGUCCGGGCUUACCCUGGGCCUUGCCGUUGAUACUGGGAGUCUUGGAUAAGCAUAAGGACGGCGGAAUGCGUAGUGUAGCGGUGAAAUGCUUAGAUAUUACGUAGAAGACCGAUUGCGAAGGCAGCUGUCUGGGUCUUAAUCGACGCUCAAGCACGAAAGCGUGGGUAGCGAACAGGAUUAGAUACCCUGGUAGUCCACGCCGUAAACGAUGAUCACUCGCUCUUGGCGAUACGCUGUCAGGGGCUAAGCGAAAGCGUUAAGUGAUCCACCUGGGGAGUACGACCGCAAGGUUGAAACUCAAAGGAAUUGACAGGGGCCCGCACAAGCGGAGGAACAUGUGGUUUAAUUCGAUGAUACGCGAGGAGCCUUACCUGGGCUAGAACGGCAGACCGAUCUACGGGGAAACCUGAGAGCCCUUCGGGGGUCUGUCGACGGUGCUGCAUGGUUGUCGUCAGCUCGUGCCGUGAGGUGUCCGGUUAGUUCCCAUAACGAGCGCAACCCCUUAUCGUCAGUUACCAUCAGGUGAGUUGGGUGACCUCUGGCAAAACCGCCGGGUCAACCCGUGAGGAAGGUGGGAAUACCUCACAAUCCCCAG